CGUAGGUGGCAAGCGUUGUCCGGAAUUAUUGGGCGUAAAGCGCGCGCAGGCGGUCUCUUAAGUCUGAUGUGAAAGCCCCCGGCUCAACCGGGGAGGGUCAUUGGAAACUGGGAGACUUGAGUACAGAAGAGAAGAGCGGAAUUCCACGUGUAGCGGUGAAAUGCGUAGAGAUGUGGAGGAACACCAGUGGCGAAGGCGGCUCUUUGGUCUGUAACUGACGCUGAGGCGCGAAAGCGUAGGGAGCAAACAGGAUUAGAUACCCUGGUAGUCCACGCCGUAAACGAUGAGUGCUAAGUGUUAGAGGGUUUCCGCCCUUUAGUGCUGCAGCUAACGCAUUAAGCACUCCGCCUGGGGAGUACGGCCGCAAGGCUG
This 372-nucleotide ribosomal RNA is filed under the name uncultured organism. Its description in RNAcentral is "bacterial SSU rRNA". It matches the Rfam family "Bacterial small subunit ribosomal RNA", at positions 526 to 896 of the family's 1533-position model. The record is from RNAcentral.